This 63-nucleotide transfer RNA is filed under the name Siphonaria pectinata. RNAcentral describes it as "tRNA-Gly". The record is from RNAcentral. Lineage: Eukaryota; Metazoa; Mollusca; Gastropoda; Siphonariida; Siphonariidae.
UUUUAAUUAGUAUAAUGUGUACAUUUACCUUCCAAGUAAAAAGUCUAUAAAUUAGAUUAAGCG